RNAcentral lists this ribosomal RNA (1453 nucleotides) under uncultured Bordetella sp. RNAcentral's name for it is "partial 16S-23S ribosomal RNA intergenic spacer". It matches the Rfam family "Bacterial small subunit ribosomal RNA". The record is from RNAcentral. Lineage: Bacteria; Pseudomonadati; Pseudomonadota; Betaproteobacteria; Burkholderiales; Alcaligenaceae.
GUUCGAUUAUGGCUCAGAUUGAACGCUGGCGGGAUAAACACCUGCAUGCAGGUCGAACGCACUGGACUUCGGUCUGGUGGCGAGUGGCGAACAGGUGAGUAAUGUAUCGAGACGUGCCUAGUAGCGGGGGAUAACUACGCGAAAGCGUAGCGCUAAUGCCACCUUACGCCUUCGAAGCGGGGGACCUUCGGGCCUCGCACUAUUAGAGCGGCCGAUAUCGGAUUAGCUGGUUAGUGGAGUAACGGCUCACCAAGGCGACGAUCCGUAGCUGGUUUGAGAGGACGACCGGCCACUGGGACUGGACCUGACGAACUCCUACGGGAGGCAGCAGUGGGAAUUUUUGGACAAUGGAAACCACAGUCCAGCCAUCCCGCGUGUGCGAUGAAGGCCUUCGGGUUGUAAAGCACUUUGGCAGGAAAACGGCCUGGGAUAAUACCCCGUGCAUGACGGUACCUGCAAGAAUAAGCACCGGCUAACUACGUGCCAGCAACCGCGGUAAUACGUAAGUGCAAGCGUUAAUCGGGAGAUUACACCAGGCGUAAAGCGUGCGCAGGCGGUUCCGGAAAGAAGAUGUGAAAUCCCAGAGCUUAACUUUGGAACUGCAUUUUUAACUACCGAGCUAGAAGUGUGUCAGAGGGAGGUGGAAUUCCGCGUGUAGCAGUGAGAUGCGUAGAUAUGCGGAGGAACACCGAUAGCGAAGGCAGCCUCCUGGGAUAACACUGACGCUCAUGCACAGCGUGGGAGCAAACAGGAUUAGAUACCCUGGUAGUCCACGCCCUAAACGAUGUCAACUAGCUGUUGGGGCGGGCCUUGGUAGCGCAGCUAACGCGUGAGAUUGACCGCCUGGGAGGCCGGUCGCAAGAUUAAAACUCAAAGGAAUUGACGGGGACGCACAAGCGGUGGAUGAUGUGGAUUAAUUCGAUGCAACGCGAAAAACCUUACCUACCCUUGACAUGUCUGGAAUCCCGAAGAGAUUUAGGGUGCUGUAAAGAGAACCGGAACACAGGUGCUGCAUGGCUGUCGUCAGCUCGUGUGUCGUUGAGAUGUUGGGUUAGUCCGCAACAGGCGCAGCCCUUGUCGUGGUUGCUACGAAGGGCACUCUAAUGAGACUGCCGGUGACAAACCGGAGGAAGGUGGGGAUGACGUCAAGUCCUCAUGGCCCACUGCUGGGUGGGCUUCACGUCGCCCAAUGGUCGGGACAGGGGUCGCCAACCCGCGAGGGGAGCCAAUCCCAGAAACCCGAUCGUAGUCCGGAUCGCAGUCUGCAACUCGACUGCGUGAAGUCGGAAUCAUGGUAAUCGCGGAUCAGCAUGUCGCGGUGAAUACGUUCCCGGGUGCAUACACCGCCCAGUAUUCAUGGAGUGGGUUUUACCAAAGUAGUUAGCCUAACCGUAAAGGAGGGCGAUUACCACAGUAGGAUUCAUGACUGGGGUGAAGUCGUAACAAAGGUAGG